UACGAAGGGGGCUAGCGUUGCUCGGAUUGACUGGGCGUAAAGGGCGCGUAGGCGGUUCGUACAGUCAGACGUGAAAUUCCUGGGCUCAACCUGGGGGCUGCGUUUGAUACGUGCGGACUUGAGUGCGGAAGAGGGUCGUGGAAUUCCCGGUGUAGAGGUGAAAUUCGUAGAUAUCGGGAGGAACACCAGUGGCGAAGGCGGCGACCUGGACCGAUACUGACGCUGAUGUGCGAAAGCGUGGGGAGCAAACAGG
This 253-nucleotide ribosomal RNA is filed under the name uncultured bacterium. RNAcentral describes it as "partial 16S ribosomal RNA". It matches the Rfam family "Bacterial small subunit ribosomal RNA", at positions 524 to 776 of the family's 1533-position model. The record is from RNAcentral.